CAUAAUUAAAUAAAGAAAUUUCAUUAAUAAAUUCAAACAAAUAAACGAAUGUUUACCAUAUAACUUUAAUCAUAAGGUGUUUAAUUGCUAAUGGCAACAGAAAACAUAAACAAGAAGAAAAUACAAAAUAUACUCAAGAGAAGAGUUGGGUAAACCCUAGUUGAUCCUUGAUGCUUGCCUGCACCUUGAACUGUGAAGUUUUCGAAUGAAUAAAAGUUUUUGCAAGGGUCUCUAUAUAUAGACAACUUUCGAACUGGGUUUCUAGGUUUUUUCCACUUCAUUAACCUUCAAAAACAACUCAUAAGGCAAAAUUACCUAGAACCAUGCGCCUCGAACGCAUGUUGAGGCAUAUAGGGAAAAUAAUUUUUCCUUCUCAUAGGUGUCAUGGACCUGGGGUGCAUGAGGCGCGACAUGGGGUAUGAGGCAGGAAAAUAGGCAGAAAAGGUUGUUUUUCUUCAUUGUUUGAGUGAUCUUCUUUGAUGCUUUCAUCUUGAUACCUGGGACAUUAUUUUUCCUAAUUGUAUUAUCUUAAAAAAAAACUUCUUGAACUCCUUUGAUCUUCAUUAUCUUGCCUACAUAACUCUAUGUGAUGUCUUGAUUUGCUGAUUUACACAAUUUUUUUCACUAAAAUGACUCAAAACACCUAUGAAAUUGUCGGUUUUGGGAAGAAAUAGAAUUACAUGGCAUCAAAUGGAAACAAUACAAAAUUUCCCUUGAACUAGAAGCACCUCCUCUAAAAAAAAUCUCUUAAAUGACCUAAUAAUCUAUUAAAAUGACUCGAAGCAUUGCUAAAAUAACGCAAAAAAUUAUGUCAUCACAAGCCCAAACAUAAAUUGUUGCAUGUCUUCAAGUAAAAUAAUAAGUACCAAAUUAUAGUUAUUUUCU
Molecule: long non-coding RNA, 885 nt
Filed under: Medicago truncatula (barrel medic)
Lineage: Eukaryota; Viridiplantae; Streptophyta; Magnoliopsida; Fabales; Fabaceae
Description: long non-coding RNA (MTRU_LNC008460)
Source: RNAcentral